This 253-nucleotide ribosomal RNA is filed under the name uncultured bacterium. RNAcentral's name for it is "partial 16S ribosomal RNA". It matches the Rfam family "Bacterial small subunit ribosomal RNA", at positions 524 to 776 of the family's 1533-position model. The record is from RNAcentral.
UACGUAGGGUGCAAGCGUUGUCCGGAAUUAUUGGGCGUAAAGAGCUCGUAGGCGGUUUGUCGCGUCUGCUGUGAAAACUCGGGGCUUAACCCCGGGCCUGCAGUGGGUACGGGCAGACUAGAGUGCGGUAGGGGAGACUGGAAUUCCUGGUGUAGCGGUGAAAUGCGCAGAUAUCGGGAGGAACACCAAUGGCGAAGGCAGCUCGCUGGGACGGUACUGACGCUGAGACGCGAAAGCGUGGGGAGCAAACAGG